This 67-nucleotide transfer RNA is filed under the name Acratocnus ye. Its description in RNAcentral is "tRNA-Thr". Lineage: Eukaryota; Metazoa; Chordata; Mammalia; Pilosa; Megalonychidae. The record is from RNAcentral.
GUCCUCGUAGUAUAACAAAUUACACUGGCCUUGUAAACCAGAAAUGAAACACAUGCUUCCUAGGACA